This 341-nucleotide ribosomal RNA is filed under the name bacterium L16(2011). RNAcentral's name for it is "bacterial SSU rRNA". It matches the Rfam family "Bacterial small subunit ribosomal RNA", at positions 1033 to 1374 of the family's 1533-position model. The record is from RNAcentral.
UACAGGUGGUGCAUGGUUGUCGUCAGCUCGUGUCGUGAGAUGUUGGGUUAAGUCCCGCAACGAGCGCAACCCUUAUUAUUCAGUUGCCAGCAUUAAGUUGGGCACUCUGGUGAGACUGCCGGUGACAAACCGGAGGAAGGUGGGGAUGACGUCAAAUCAUCAUGCCCCUUAUGACCUGGGCUACACACGUGCUACAAUGGAUGGUACAACGAGUUGCGAACUCGCGAGAGUAAGCUAAUCUCUUAAAGCCAUUCUCAGUUCGGAUUGUAGGCUGCAACUCGCCUACAUGAAGUCGGAAUCGCUAGUAAUCGCGGAUCAGCAUGCCGCGGUGAAUACGUUCC